UAAGAAAUCGACGAUCAGGGAUUUUGGUGAAUAAAAUCGAUAUUAAAAAUAGUAAUAAUAGAAGAGAUGAUAUUGUUUGUGAUCUAUAUGUGUUGGUUUAUGAAUAAGAAUGUGAUAAUGUAUAUGAUUUGUAUAAAUGGUGUGUUCGGAGGAAAUGUUAUGUAAUAUGAUAUCUGAUAUAUGGUGUGAUGGGUGGAAAUGAUACACGAUAUGUGACGUGAUGUGAGGGAUUAAUAUGUAAUAUGUGGUGUGACGAAGGAUUUGAUCAGCCCAAUGUGGGUGCAUUUUGCUUUGCACACAUACCUGUGUUUAUCGCUAAGCAGACUUGGGUAAUAAGUGAAAAUAUUUGAUAAUGUCAAUUAUAAUAUAUUUGAUUAUGUGUAUAUGAUUAUGUGUACAUUAGCCUGUGGAUAAUAUAUAUGUUUGAAAGGUGAUAUUGUUGUUAUAAGAAGGUAAAUAUGUGAAUUGGUUGAUACUUGAUAUAGUUGAAUAUGCAUGCCCUUAAAUGGGUUAUAUGUGCUAUCGAGUCGAGCUGUGUGCUGUGAAUGAAAAUAUAAAUUCUGUAUGGAUUAUAUGUGUGUUUGGAAUCGGUCAAUAUGAAUUAUGAUGUGAUGUGAUAAAGAUAUAAGCUGAGUAUUUGUCCUUGAUAAAAGAUAUGUGAUACAAAAUGUGAUCUGACUAGAAAUGUGAACUCCGUAAGAACUAUGUGUGCGCUUGAAGACGAGCUAAACAAAUAUGGAAAUUUAAAUGAGGAUUUAUAAAUGGAAUGGAAAAAUGAAAAUGGGUGCAUAUAUGUGAUAAUAUAUAUGUUGUGAGAAUGUAGGUGAUUUGUGUGUGUUUCGAUAUAUGAGAAUGUCGGUUAUAGCAAUAUGUAUAUAUUAUUUUUUUAUGUAAGAACGUUGUUGAUUGGUAUAUGUGUCACGAUAUAUGAUAAUAUAUAUGAUUUGUAAACGUGUUGGCGUGUUGAUAAUGUGUUAUAUUCUUUAAAUUUAACUUGACAAUCUGUGUAGGCUGUCGUCAAGUUGUGGAUUUUACUAUGUAUCAUAUUCUAUGAAGUUGGUAAGUUGAUAUGACUAUGACCUUGGCAAGUUCUAGGAAAUGAAAGAUAGAAUAAUGAAGUUAUACCAGGUUAUAAUAAAUUAAUGAUGUUAUAUGAAGAUACGAGGGACAUGAUAAUAGAGAUUAGAUGACAUGGUACGAUAAAUGUCUAUAACUAUUUAGAUCAUGUAAAAUUUCGAGGACGAAAUUUUUUUUAGGAGGGUAGAGUUGUAACACCCCAAAGAAAUGACCUUAGUUGGAAAUUGAUUUUCUGAUUAGAAAAAAAAAACGGAGAAUCAGGACUCUUGUCGAAUAAUUCGAUAUUGAAAUUAGUGGUGAUUAAUAAUAUGUUUAAAAUGUUAUGAGAGUGAAGAUUUUGAAAUAGUGCAUGAAUUAUAAAGAAUGGAAAUGAUAUUAGAAACUAGUAAAAAUUAUCUGUAACAUGUUUUCGCAUAUUAAUUCGAAAUCAAGAAGGAAAUAAAUUGAAAUAUAAAAGUACAUGAUUAGAAAGUGAUUAAAUGAAAGUUAAGUGUUAGAAAAUAAUAUGAGGUUGGAAAUGGAGAGAUUAGAAGAAAUACAUUAAGAAGUGUAAAACUUGUCUAUCAGAUUUUCGGUGAUUGUUUCGACGGCGAAAAAGGCCAAAUUAAAUAAGAAUUAUUCUUGAAAAUUAAUUAGAGGUAUUGUACCAUUAUAAUUAAGUUUUACAAGCAUAAUAUGGGUAGAAGAAGUUAGAAGAAAUUAAGGAUUAGAUUAGUGUUAAUAUAAAAUUUAAUGUUGAUGGGAAAAUGGUAAAAUCACAUAAAAUAAACCAAUUUAUUUACCUAAAUUGUGGAGGGCCGAGACAUUCCAUUCAGCUUGAAGAGAAAGGUCUAGAAAUUUGAAAAUACAAAUGAGGGAAUUAAUGGAGACAAAUGGCUAAAUAUUGUCCACAAUUUAUUUUAAUUGUUUGAGGAUCACUUUUAAGCAUCAAAAUGGGCAUUCUUCUUCCUCAUUUCUUCUCCCACAAAAAUAUCGACAGCCCCUUUUCCUCCCCCCUUAACCAAUUUCUUCACAAAAUCCCAUCUUUAUUGAUGAAUCGAUGAAGCAAUUGCAUGAUUGGACUAUUUGGAGGUUAUUCAGCAUUGGAGAGUACUAGUUGAGGUUUCUUAAUGUCCGUCUCAGCACUGCAUCCUUGCGGGUCACUGAGCUCUAUUACCGAUAGGUCAUUCGAAUGGUUAGUUGUGGCAUGUUAGCACUAAAUAUUGUAUUAAAUAACUUCCACUGUAAUUGUAAAUUUAAUGAUUUAAAUAGUUGAGUUUCGAAUGGUUCAGAAAUAUGAAA
Molecule: long non-coding RNA, 2358 nt
Organism: Salvia splendens (bonfire salvia)
Lineage: Eukaryota; Viridiplantae; Streptophyta; Magnoliopsida; Lamiales; Lamiaceae
Exons: 2
Source: RefSeq, a predicted model, not a curated record